AAUGGGGGAAACCCUGAUCCAGCCAUACCGCGUGAGUGAAGAAGGCCUUCGGGUUGUAAAGCUCUUUCAGCCGGAAAGAAAUCGUGCAGGCUAAUACCCUGUAUGGAUGACGGUACCGGAAGAAGAAGCACCGGCUAACUACGUGCCAGCAGCCGCGGUAAUACGUAGGGUGCGAGCGUUAAUCGGAAUUACUGGGCGUAAAGCGUGCGCAGGCGGUUUCGUAAGACAGACGUGAAAUCCCCGGGCUCAACCUGGGAACUGCGUUUGUGACUGCGAGGCUAGAGUAUGGCAGAGGGGGGUGGAAUUCCACGUGUAGCAGUGAAAUGCGUAGAGAUGUGGGGGAACACCGAUGGCGAAGGCAGCCCCCUGGGCCAAUACUGACGCUCAUGCACGAAAGCGUGGGGAGCAAA
This 410-nucleotide ribosomal RNA is filed under the name uncultured bacterium. Its description in RNAcentral is "bacterial SSU rRNA". It matches the Rfam family "Bacterial small subunit ribosomal RNA", at positions 370 to 772 of the family's 1533-position model. The record is from RNAcentral.